UCUCCUGGAAACGGGUGGUAAUGCCGGAUGCUCCAGUUGAUCGCAUGGUCUUCUGGGAAAGCCUUUGCGGCAUGGGAUGGGGUCGCGUCCUAUCAGCUUGAUGGCGGGGUAACGGCCCACCAUGGCUUCGACGGGUAGCCGGCCUGAGAGGGCGACCGGCCACAUUGGGACUGAGAUACGGCCCAGACUCCUACGGGAGGCAGCAGUGGGGAAUAUUGCACAAUGGGCGCAAGCCUGAUGCAGCGACGCCGCGUGAGGGAUGGAGGCCUUCGGGUUGUAAACCUCUUUUGUUAGGGAGCAAGGCAUUUUGUGUUGAGUGUACCUUUCGAAUAAGCACCGGCUAACUACGUGCCAGCAGCCGCGGUAAUACGUAGGGUGCAAGCGUUAUCCGGAAUUAUUGGGCGUAAAGGGCUCGUAGGCGGUUCGUCGCGUCCGGUGUGAAAGUCCAUCGCUUAACGGUGGAUCCGCGCCGGGUACGGGCGGGCUUGAGUGCGGUAGGGGAGACUGGAAUUCCCGGUGUAACGGUGGAAUGUGUAGAUAU
This 541-nucleotide ribosomal RNA is filed under the name Bifidobacterium breve. RNAcentral describes it as "bacterial SSU rRNA". It matches the Rfam family "Bacterial small subunit ribosomal RNA", at positions 146 to 697 of the family's 1533-position model. Lineage: Bacteria; Bacillati; Actinomycetota; Actinomycetes; Bifidobacteriales; Bifidobacteriaceae. The record is from RNAcentral.